CUGAAUUCCAUCUCUGCUUUGUAGGUCUGGCCUAGGGCAAGUCAUCUAAGUUAUACUUUCUGCGCCUGCAAAACGAAGCUGAAUUGUGUGUUCAUCUUCAAGCCAUCGUGAGCUCUGAGCAGCCCUCACAGAAGGACUCAGCUGAAAAGUGUAAGAGCUGUACUGAGCACUGCUUUCCUAAGUGAAAACCAGCAGGAUAAUUCCAAUACUCCUCAAAUGGAGAUGGACUCUAAGACAAGUUCAGAGAAUAUAGACAACCUCCAGGCUGAAGGACCCAGAGACCAAACUGUGUCCCCAGAAGAGACAGUGUAUGUUACCCUGGAUGUAAACAUCAAGCCAAGCAAGGGAAGGAAGCACAGGCUCCGUGUGACGGGGGAGCUCAUGGGAGGCCCGCAGCUCUGAGGCUGUCAGAAAGGCAGUGAGGACUCCUCCUGGCAGAGAAAGGCUGGUAUACAGCGCAGAAGGAACUGACGCAUUCUUAAACCUUGGAAUGGCCUCUCAGGUGUUCUCCUGAAAACCGCCACGUGAGAGUUAUCUUUUCUCCAAAGAGAAGCGAGACAGGGAAAGAGGAACAGGUAUUUGGUCAGUUUAACAACACAUCAACUGACUGUGUCAAAUUUUAUAUUCACACAGUUGGGAAGACCAGAAAAACUCUUCUCAAAUGCAGGGAACUUCACAAAGAUGAGUACAAACUCUGUGUCUAUGCUUUCAAAGGAGAAAGCAUAAGAAGGCUAUGUCCGCGGAUGGCAGACUUCUUUCCCUUCUGGAGAAGAGUGACUGGACCCUCAUUGGAAACCUGAGCAUUGUUUUAGACAGCUCACAGUUGGCCAAUGCCUUAGAGGGCGAGCUCUUUCAGCUUGAGGUUAAAAACAAGCAUAAAAGCCAGGGCACCAGCUGCUUGAAAUUCUCAGGUUGAGGUUGAAAAAAAGCAUGGAUGCCAGGGCACCAGCUGCUAGAAAUUCCGAGUCACAGGAAAUAAAGCCUUGUGUGUUGAAACAAACAAUCAUGGAAGACAAGCACCCCAGUUUGGAAAGAGAAAGUGAUAAAAUUAGAAAAACUUUGAGAAUAAUUUGGAUAAAACACAGGGGGGAAAAAUUGUUUGAAUUGCAUAAAACAGACUUUGGGAAACUGACCAAAAACUGCUCAGGUUGAAGUGCACAGACUUCUUUCCGGGCUCAGUGACUCAGUCGGGCACCUUUCAUGGCACAUCAGGAAGAGUGCAGGCUCUUCCGCUUGCUUUGUUUGGAAAGGGUUGUACAUUUCCACUCGUCGGCAUGUGAUGUAUCGGACCGUGGGAGAAGACAUAGAGUCACGUGAGUGUGCACACACACACGGUCAGUGUGUAAAGGGGACAUUUGCUUAUGAGAAGGCUGAAGAUGAAAAUAAGCACUGCUUCUCCUUGAGCGCUGGUUUGAGACACCUGAUGUAGAGCUCGACCACGCAGCUCUGAAAGUGAAGACACAGGGACAGCAAGAGCCUGAGGGGCUGUGUGAUGGGAAGGACCCUGGGCCAGACAGCAGCCUGGUGUGUGUUACUGGCCGUCCAGCUGGGGAGGCGAAGUCUACCGAUGCCUGUGCUGUGAUCCCUCAGGAUCAGCGGGAAGAGAAAUACUUGGAACACAUCCAGGCUAGAGCUGCAGACAGGCGUGGUGCUUGAACGCAGUACAUCCAUAUGCACACCGAGAAGAGUUUCCAGGAGGUAGUCCCCCAGCCUGAUGUGGCGACCCAUAACACCGCUUCUUACUUUGGGUCUCCGGCUCCCCCGUGUUUGAUUCUGAAGGCUCGUGGGUGCCACGUACACUGCAGGCUUCGCUUAUAAGUACCCACAGGGGAUUUCCAGCAUCACUGAAUUCAGCUGUACCCUGAAAUCCAUAUCUAUGAUGUUAAGAAAAAACACAGAAUGUGGUAGGAAGGACUGUUUCUAAACCUGCCAGAUUCAAAGAAAGGCAAUGGCACCCCACUCCAGUACUCUUGCCUGGAAAAUUCCAUGGACAGAGGAGCCUGGUGUGCUGCAGUCCAUGGGGUUGCUAAGAGUUGGACACGACUGAGCGACUUCACUUUCACACAUGGCAGAAGGAAAUGGCAACCCACUCCAAUGUUCUUGCCUGGAGAAUCCCAGGGAUGGGGGAGCCUGGUGGGCUGCCGUCUAUGGGGUCACACAGAGUCGGACAUGACUGAAGCGACUUAGCAGCAGCAGCAACAGUAUCUCCCCCUAAGUUCAGUUGCUUAAAGGCAGGACCCAAGACUUCUUCUCUCAUUAUCCACAAUGUCUGGCACAUGGAAAUUAAGGGCUUCAAAAAUACGUAGGUUCAUCAGUAGCAACACUUAGGGCUGCAGUUAAUCUUAGGUGUGUGGGUCAAUCGCUCAGUUGUGUCAGACUCUUUGCAACUGCAUGGACUGUAGCCUGCCAGGCUCCUCUGUCCAUGGAGUUUUCCAGGCAAGAACACUGGAGUGGGUUGCCAUUUCCUUUUCCAGGAGAUCUUCCCAAUCCAGGGAUCGAACCCACAUAUCUUGCAUCUUCUAAAUUGGCAGGCGAAUUCUUUACCACUGUGCCACCUGGACUGAGUAGCUAAAUGCUUGGUUAGAAGUAAUCUCAAAUGAAAUCUUUUAGAAUUUCCAAAAUCCUCAUAUGAUCCAAACUGUCAGGAUAUAUGUUUCCUGAAAUUCAGAGGGUAAUAUAUCCAUUUUCUGUGUAUUUAUAGGCUACUAGGGGGGCUAUCUUAAAUACCAUGUUACUUUGUAGAGAUGUCUUGGUUUUUGCCCGAAGUCCUUGUCCUGCUCCAGGAUGCCGGCUAGUGCCCACAUUGCGUUCGCUGUUAGGUCUGCUUAGACUUCUCUUGGUCGUGACAGUUUCUCAGCCUUUUCUUGUAUUUUAUGAUCUUGACAG
Long non-coding RNA from Bos taurus (domestic cattle), 2886 nucleotides. The record is from Ensembl. Lineage: Eukaryota; Metazoa; Chordata; Mammalia; Artiodactyla; Bovidae.